RNAcentral lists this transfer RNA (75 nucleotides) under Podarcis lilfordi (Lilford's wall lizard). RNAcentral describes it as "tRNA.Ile". Lineage: Eukaryota; Metazoa; Chordata; Lepidosauria; Squamata; Lacertidae. The record is from RNAcentral.
AGUCGCACAGCUCAGUUGGUUAGAUCGUGGUGCUGAUGACGCCAAGGUUGCAGGUUCGAUUCCCCUAUGGGACUG